This 253-nucleotide ribosomal RNA is filed under the name uncultured bacterium. RNAcentral describes it as "partial 16S ribosomal RNA". It matches the Rfam family "Bacterial small subunit ribosomal RNA", at positions 524 to 776 of the family's 1533-position model. The record is from RNAcentral.
UACAGAGGUGGCAAGCGUUGUUCGGAAUUACUGGGCGUAAAGGGCGUGUAGGCGGCCUUCUAAGUCGGACGUGACAGCCCCAGGCUCAACCUGGGAACUGCGUCCGAUACUGGAAGGCUUGGAUUCGGGAGAGGGAUGUGGAAUUCCAGGUGUAGCGGUGAAAUGCGUAGAUAUCUGGAGGAACACCGGUGGCGAAGGCGGAAUCCUGGAACGUCAUCGACGCUGAGGCGCGAAAGCUAGGGGAGCACACGGG